UUAAGCGAAUAAGCGUACACGGUGGAUGCCUAGGCAAUCAGAGGCGAUGAAGGACGUGCUAAUCUGCGAAAAGCGUCGGUAAGGUGAUAUGAACCGUUAUACCCGACGAUAUCCGAAUGGGGAAACCCAGUAUCCAAUGGAUACUAUCAUUAACUGAAUUCAUAGGUUAAUGAGGCGAACCGGGAGAACUGAAACAUCUCAGUACCCCGAGGAAAAGAAAUCAACCGAGAUUCCCCUAGUAGCGGCGAGCGAACGGGGAGCAGCCCAGAGUCUUAAUCAAUAACAGUGUCAGGAGAACGGUCUGGAAAGUCCGGCAGUAAAGGGUGAUAGCCCCGUAUCUGAAGAUGCUGUUAUUGUGAACUCGACGAGUAGGGCGGGACACGUGUUAUCCUGUCUGAAUAUGGGGGGACCAUCCUCCAAGGCUAAAUACUCCUGAUUGACCGAUAGUGAACCAGUACCGUGAGGGAAAGGCGAAAAGAACCCCGGCGAGGGGAGUGAAAAAGAACCUGAAACCGUGUACGUACAAGCAGUAGGAGCCUCUUUAUGGGGUGACUGCGUACCUUUUGUAUAAUGGGUCAGCGACUUAUAUUCUGUAGCAAGGUUAACCGUAUAGGGGAGCCGUAGGGAAACCGAGUCUUAACUGGGCGAAUGAGUUGCAGGGUAUAGACCCGAAACCCGGUGAUCUAUCCAUGGGCAGGUUGAAGGUUGGGUAACACUAACUGGAGGACCGAACCGACUAAUGUUGAAAAAUUAGCGGAUGACUUGUGGAUGGGGGUGAAAGGCCAAUCAAACCGGGAGAUAGCUGGUUCUCCCCGAAAGCUAUUUAGGUAGCGCCUCGUGAACUCAUCUUCGGGGGUAGAGCACUGUUUCGACUAGGGGGUCAUCCCGACUUACCAACUCGAUGCAAACUGCGAAUACCGAAGAAUGUUAUCACGGGAGACACACGGCGGGUGCUAACGUCCGUCGUGAAGAGGGAAACAACCCAGACCGCCAGCUAAGGUCCCAAAGUCAUGGUUAAGUGGGAAACGAAGUGGGAAGGCUCAGACAGCCAGGAUGUUGGCUUAGAAGCAGCCAUCAUUUAAAGAAAGCGUAAUAGCUCACUGGUCGAGUCGGCCCGCGCGGAAGAUGUAACGGGGCUAAACCAUGCACCGAAGCUGCGGCAGCGACACAAAGUGUUGUUGGGUAGGGGAGCGUUCUGUAAGCCUGCGAAGGUGUACUGUGAGGUAUGCUGGAGGUAUCAGAAGUGCGAAUGCUGACAUAAGUAACGAUAAUGCGGGUGAAAAACCCGCACGCCGGAAGACCAAGGGUUCCUGUCCAACGUUAAUCGGGGCAGGGUGAGUCGACCCCUAAGGCGAGGCUGAAAAGCGUAGUCGAUGGGAAACGGGUUAAUAUUCCCGUACUGGUGGUAACUGCGAUGGGGGAACGGAGAAGGCUAGGUUGUCCGGGCGACGGUCGUCCCGGUUCAAGCAGGUAGGCAGAGUGAUUAGGCAAAUCCGGUCACUUAAUGCUGAGAUGUGAUGACGAACCACCAAGGUGGUGAAGCAAUUGAUGCCCUGCUUCCAGGAAAAGCCUCUAAGCUUCAGGUUACCAACAAUCGUACCCCAAACCGACACAGGUGGUCAGGUAGAGAAUACUCAGGCGCUUGAGAGAACUCGGGUGAAGGAACUAGGCAAAAUGGUGCCGUAACUUCGGGAGAAGGCACGCUGGCGGUAGGUAAAGUCCCUCGCGGACAGAGCUGAAGCCAGUCGAAGAUACCAGCUGGCUGCAACUGUUUAUUAAAAACACAGCACUGUGCAAACACGAAAGUGGACGUAUACGGUGUGACGCCUGCCCGGUGCUGGAAGGUUAAUUGAUGGGGUUAGCGCAAGCGAAGCUCCUGAUCGAAGCCCCAGUAAACGGCGGCCGUAACUAUAACGGUCCUAAGGUAGCGAAAUUCCUUGUCGGGUAAGUUCCGACCUGCACGAAUGGCGUAAUGAUGGCCAGGCUGUCUCCACCCGAGACUCAGUGAAAUUGAACUCGCUGUGAAGAUGCAGUGUACCCGCGGCAAGACGGAAAGACCCCGUGAACCUUUACUAUAGCUUGACACUGAACAUUGAGCCUUGAUGUGUAGGAUAGGUGGGAGGCUUUGAAGUGUGGACGCCAGUCUGCAUGGAGCCAACCUUGAAAUACCACCCUUUAACGUUUGAUGUUCUAACCUAGGCCCAUAAACUGGGUCGGGGACCGUGUCUGGUGGGUAGUUUGACUGGGGCGGUCUCCUCCUAAAGAGUAACGGAGGAGCACGAAGGUUGGCUAAGCAUGGUCGGACAUCAUGCGGUUAGUGCAAAGGCAUAAGCCAGCUUGACUGCGAGAGUGACGGCUCGAGCAGGUACGAAAGUAGGUCUUAGUGAUCCGGUGGUUCUGAAUGGAAGGGCCAUCGCUCAACGGAUAAAAGGUACUCCGGGGAUAACAGGCUGAUACCGCCCAAGAGUUCAUAUCGACGGCGGUGUUUGGCACCUCGAUGUCGGCUCAUCACAUCCUGGGGCUGAAGUAGGUCCCAAGGGUAUGGCUGUUCGCCAUUUAAAGUGGUACGCGAGCUGGGUUUAGAACGUCGUGAGACAGUUCGGUCCCUAUCUGCCGUGGGCGUUGGAAGAUUGAGAGGGGUUGCUCCUAGUACGAGAGGACCGGAGUGAACGCACCACUGGUGUUCGGGUUGUCAUGCCAAUGGCAUUGCCCGGUAGCUAAGUGCGGAAGAGAUAACCGCUGAAAGCAUCUAAGCGGGAAACUUGCCUCGAGAUGAGUCUUCCCUGUCGCUUUAAGCGACCUAAAGGAACGUUUAAGACUAAGACGUUGAUAGGCUGGGUGUGUAAGCGUAGCGAUACGUUGAGCUAACCAGUACUAAUGAACCGUGAGGCUUAACCUG
Molecule: ribosomal RNA, 2899 nt
Filed under: Proteus mirabilis
Lineage: Bacteria; Pseudomonadati; Pseudomonadota; Gammaproteobacteria; Enterobacterales; Morganellaceae
Description: bacterial LSU rRNA
Rfam family: Bacterial large subunit ribosomal RNA
Source: RNAcentral